UACGUAGGGACCAAGCGUUGUUCGGAUUUACUGGGCGUAAAGGGCGCGUAGGCGGCGCGGUAAGUCACUUGUGAAAUCUCUGAGCUUAACUCAGAACGGCCAAGUGAUACUGCAGUGCUAGAGUGUGGAAGGGGCAAUCGGAAUUCUUGGUGUAGCGGUGAAAUGCGUAGAUAUCGGAAGGAACAUCAGUGGCGAAAGCGACUUCCUGGACCAAUACUGACGCUCAUGUGCGAAAGCGCGGGGAGCAAACAGG
This 253-nucleotide ribosomal RNA is filed under the name uncultured prokaryote. Its description in RNAcentral is "partial 16S ribosomal RNA". It matches the Rfam family "Bacterial small subunit ribosomal RNA", at positions 524 to 776 of the family's 1533-position model. The record is from RNAcentral.